GAACGGGAGCAACCUGCACGUUAGCACUCCGACGAUCAAGUCAGCAAGGUUACUCUAUUAUUCAAGGUGAAAGUAAUCAGAUUAAAAGUGAGUUACCUGGUCAACUAUUCUUGUAUUUAUAGGCCUAAAUCAUAACUAUGGGCUGUGAAAUAUCCAGAACCGUCGACCCAUAAUCCCAGAUAUUUCGGCCACUAAAUGNAACUGUCACACGUGCCUCCGAUAUUAUCGCCCCAACUCCGCCCGUAACUACAUACUGUGUGGUCUAAGACUUUUCCGCUAGGUAUCCCUCAUCCUUCGAUCAGUCUCUCUCUGUCCGACCAGUUUCUCUCUCUACUAGACCAGUUUCUCUCUACCCGACCAGUCUCUCUCUCUACCCGAUUAGUCUCUCUCUCUACCCAAUCAUCCCCUCUGUCUCACCGAUCCCUAUACACUACAAAUCUCAUCAUGUUUUCAGGGCUCAAUUUGUCUUUCCAAACAUAACUCAUUUAUUAAAGUCUCGAGACAAUAAAAUAAAAAUAUAAAAUAAUAAUAUAAUUAAAUAGUAGCUCGAUCAAUACAACUUUUAAUGUCCCUGGCCAACUGACGUAAUAAUGCUUCC
Molecule: long non-coding RNA, 598 nt
Filed under: Vigna radiata
Lineage: Eukaryota; Viridiplantae; Streptophyta; Magnoliopsida; Fabales; Fabaceae
Description: long non-coding RNA (VRAD_LNC011550)
Source: RNAcentral